RNAcentral lists this ribosomal RNA (468 nucleotides) under uncultured bacterium. RNAcentral describes it as "partial 16S ribosomal RNA". It matches the Rfam family "Bacterial small subunit ribosomal RNA", at positions 28 to 507 of the family's 1533-position model. The record is from RNAcentral.
GACGAACGCUGGCGGCGUGCUUAACACAUGCAAGUCGAACGGAAAGGCCCUGCUGGGGUGGGGUGCGCGGGGAGCGAGCGGGUAAGUAACGAGUAAGUUACCUGCCCUUGCGUGUGGGCUAACGUCAAGAAAGGGGGGUAAAUACUGGAAAGGAGUGCCGCCUGGUGGGGGGGGGAAGGAAAGUUUCGGCGGUUGUGGAUGGACUGCCGGUUUACCAGUUUGUGGGGGGGGGAGUGGCUAACGAAGGCUUGGGCGGGUAGCCGGCCUGGGAGGGUGACCGGCCAAAUUGGAACUGAGAUCCGGCCCAGACUCCUCCGGGAGGCAGCAGUGGGAAAUAUUGACCAAUGGGCGGAGGCCUGAUGAAGCAACGCCGCGUGCGGGAUAACGGCCUUCGGGUUGUAACCCGCUUCCGCAUGUGACGAACUGUGAGUGACGGUAAUGGGUAAAGAAGCACCGGCUAACUACGUG